GGGAGAAUGAAGAUAGCAGAUGUAAGGAAGGCUGCUAAUCAGCUAGCCUUGAGAUGCAGAGAGCACUCUGGACUUGCCAGAUGAAUCCGAUGUAAUACCCAGGGGCCUUGACUGUGGAAGAGAGAGGCAGAAGCAUCAACAUCAGAAUAAUUUGGUGCGAGAAAGAUUCUACUUUAGUUACUGACUUUGAAGAUGGAGAAGGGGGCCAUGUGCCAAGGAAUGCAGCAGCUUUUGGAAGCUGAAAAAGGCAAAGAAACAAAUUCUCAAAGAAACAAGAGCCUGCAGAAAAGAACUCAGCCCUUCUGACACCUUGAUUUCAUCCCGGUGAGACCCAUUUCAGACUCUGACCUCCAGAACAAAUGACAAGAUGAUAAAUUUGUGUUGUUUUAAGACACUAAGUUUGUGGUAACAAGUUGCAGCAACAACAGAAACUAAUAUAGGAAUGAAGCUAUGGACAUAAACUCAAGUCAGACCAUGAAGCACAUUCUCAGAAAGCUUAGCAGUCUGGCCUCGGAACUUCAGAAUACAUGGUUUCAGGCCUCAUGUUUAAGUCUCUGGUAGUUCUUUAUAGCAAUGCAAGAACGGACUAAUACACCUGGACACUGAUCUCAUCUGGUGAAAGACUGUGGGUAAUCAAAGCAUUUCUGCGGAGUGGUUGCAAGGCAUGCCUGCGACGAGACAGGUUGUUGGCAGUGAGUGAGUGUAGCAUUGUUCUUUCUCAAGAUUGCUUUAGCUGUCUUCUUGAUCUUGUGGUUCCAUGUAAAUUUUAUGGUUUCAUACAAUUUUUAAUAUUACUUUUUUUGUUUCUGUAAAUAAAUGUCAUUGAAAUUUUAACAGAGAUUGCAUUCAGUCUGUAAAUUGCUUUGGGUAGCAUGGACAUUUUAACAAUAUUAAUUGUUCCAGUCCAUAAACAUAGGACAUCUUUCCAUUUAUUUGUGUCUACUUCAAAUUCUUUCAUCCACGUUUUACAGUUUUCAGUGUACAGAUUUUUCACCUCCUUUGUUAAAUUUAUUCUUUGUUACUUUAUUCUUUCUGACACUGUUGUAAAUGGAACUUUAUAAAGAAUAAUAUGUUUCGGGUGUUUAUUAAAUAUAGAAACACAGCUGAUUUUCGUGUGUUGAUUUUGAAUCCUGC
Molecule: long non-coding RNA, 1134 nt
Filed under: Homo sapiens (human)
Lineage: Eukaryota; Metazoa; Chordata; Mammalia; Primates; Hominidae
Description: HSALNT0137864
Source: RNAcentral